This 855-nucleotide ribosomal RNA is filed under the name uncultured Actinomycetales bacterium. Its description in RNAcentral is "bacterial SSU rRNA". It matches the Rfam family "Bacterial small subunit ribosomal RNA", at positions 29 to 897 of the family's 1533-position model. Lineage: Bacteria; Bacillati; Actinomycetota; Actinomycetes; Actinomycetales. The record is from RNAcentral.
ACGAACGCUGGCGGCGUGCUUAACACAUGCAAGUCGAGCGAUGAAGUUUCUUCGGAAAUGGAUUAGCGGCGAACGGGUGAGGAACACGUGAAGAACCUGCCCUCCACUUUGGGAUAACACAGGGAAACCUGUGCUAAUACCGAAUAUUGAAACAUAAGUGGCAUCACUGAGUUUUGAAAGAAUUUCGGUGGAGGAUGACUUCGCGGCCUAUCAGCUAGUUGGUGAGGUAAUGGCUCACCAAGGCAACGACGGGUAGCCGGCCUGAGAGGGCGACCGGCCACACUGGGACUGAGACACGGCCCAGACUCCUACGGGAGGCAGCAGUGGGGAAUAUUGGGCAAUGGAGGAAACUCUGACCCAGCGACGCCGCGUGCGGGAUGAAGGCCUUCGGGUUGUAAACCGCUUUCAGUAGGGAAGAAGCGAAAGUGACGGUACCUACAAAAGAAGCACCGGCUAACUAUGUGCCAGCAGCCGCGGUAAUACAUAGGGUGCAAGCGUUGUCCGGAAUUAUUGGGCGUAAAGAGCUCGUAGGUUGUUUGUUACGUCGGAUGUGAAAACCUGAGGCUCAACCUCAGGCCUGCAUUCGAUACGGGCAAACUAGAGUUUGGUAGGGGAGACUGGAAUUCCUGGUGUAGCGGUGGAAUGCGCAGAUAUCAGGAGGAACACCAAUGGCGAAGGCAGGUCUCUGGGCCAAUACUGACACUGAGGAGCGAAAGUCUGGGGAGCGAACAGGAUUAGAUACCCUGGUAGUCCAGACCGUAAACGGUGGGCACUAGUUGUGGGGACCUUCCACGGUCUCUGCGACGCAGCUAACGCAUUAAGUGCCCCGCCUGGGGAGUACGAUCGCAAGAUUAA